This 4262-nucleotide long non-coding RNA is filed under the name Rattus norvegicus (Norway rat). RNAcentral's name for it is "long non-coding RNA NONRATT023777". The record is from RNAcentral. Lineage: Eukaryota; Metazoa; Chordata; Mammalia; Rodentia; Muridae.
GCAGCUGGAGCAGCUGGAAGUGAAGCGCUCGGGGCUGACCAAGGAGCUGGUGGAGGUGCGGGAGGCACUGAGCUGCGCUGUACUGCAGAGGGAUGUGCUGCAGACAGAGAAGGCAGAGGUGGCUGAGGCGCUGACCAAGGCUGAGGCAGGCCGUGCGCAGCUGGAGCUCUCUGUGACCAAGCUGAGGGCAGAGGAGGCUUCCCUGCGAGAUUCCUUGUCCAAGAUGAGUGCCCUCAACGAGAGUCUCGCCCAGGACAAGCUGGAAUUAAACCGCCUCAUCGCCCAGCUAGAGGAAGAAAAGGCGGCGCUCCUGGGCCGCCAGCAGCAGGCGGAGCACGCCACUUCGCUGGCUGUGGAGAAGCAGGAACGGUUGGAGCAGCUGAGACUGGAGCAGGAGGUGGAGAGGCAGGGCCUGGAGGGCUCCCUGUGUGUGGCUGAGCAGGCCCGGGAGGCGCUGGGGCAGCAGAUCCUUGUAUUGCGCAGCGAACGCAGCCAUCUGCAGGAGCAGGUGGCCCAGCUGAAUGGACGGGACCAGGAGUUGGAUCAGGCCCUGCGGGAGUCCCAGCGGCAGGUGGAGGCCCUGGAGCGCGCUGCCCGGGAGAAGGAGGCGAUGGCCAAGGAACGGGCUGGCCUGGCUGUGCAGCUGGCAGCAGCCGAGCGUGAGGGCCGGACCCUGUCAGAGGAGACCAUUCGCCUGCGCUUGGAGAAGGAGGCCCUGGAGAGCAGCCUGUUUGACGUGCAGAGGCAGCUGGCUCAGCUCGAGGCCCGCCGGGAGCAGCUAGAAGCGGACAGUCAAGCCCUGCUGCUGGCCAAGGAAACUCUGACUGGGGAGCUGGCAGGCCUGCGGCAGCAGGUAACAGCCACUGAAGAGAAAGCGGCCUUGGACAAGGAGCUGAUGACCCAGAAGCUAGUGCAAGCAGAGCGGGAGACUCAGGCCUCUCUGCGGGAACAGCGGGCAGCCCAUGAGGAGGAUCUGCAGAGACUCCAGCGGGAGAAGGAGGCUGCAUGGCGGGAGCUUCAGGCAGAGCGGGCCCAGCUGCAGGGCCAGUUACAGCAGGAGCGAGAGGAGCUGCUGGCCCGGAUGGAGGCUGAGAAGGAGGAGCUGAGUGAGGAGAUCGCCGCGCUGCAGCAGGAGCGGGACGAGGGCCUGCUCCUGGCGGAGAGUGAGAAGCAGCAGGCCUUGUCCUUGAAGGAGUCUGAGAAGACGGCACUGUCAGAGAAGUUGAUGGGAACCCGGCACAGUCUGGCUGCCAUCUCUCUGGAGAUGGAACGGCAGAAGCGAGAUGCCCAGAGCCGGCAGGAACAGGACCGGAACACAGUGAACGCCCUAACAUCUGAACUUCGAGACCUCCGGGCUCAGCUGGAAGAAGCCACAGCAGCCCAUGCACAGCAGGUGAAAGAACUCCAGGAGCAGACGGGGAACCUGGGUCGGCAGCGGGAGGCCUGCAUGAGGGAGGCAGAAGAGCUGAGGACUCAGCUGCGCUUGUUGGAGGAUACCCGUGAUGGGCUGCGGCGGGAGCUGCUGGAGGCUCAGCGCAAGGUCCGGGACAGCCAGGACAGCUCCGAGGCCCAUCGCCAGGAGGCUAGUGAGCUGCGGCGCAGUCUGAGUGAGGGCACCAAGGAGCGUGAGGCCCUGCGGCGUUCCAACGAGGAGCUGAGGACCGCUGUGAAGAAGGCAGAGAGCGAGCGGAUCAGCCUGAAGCUUGCCAAUGAGGACAAGGAGCAGAAGCUGGCCCUCCUGGAAGAGGCUCGAAUGUCUGUCGCCAAGGAGGCUGGAGAGCUUCGGGCCUCACUGCAGGAAGUGGAGCGAUCCCGGCUGGAGGCUCGACGUGAGCUGCAGGAGCUUAGGCGACAGAUGAAGACUCUGGACAGUGACAAUGGCCGACUGGGCCGUGAGCUGGCAGACCUGCAGAGCCGCUUGGCCCUGGGCGAGCGGACAGAGAAGGAGAGCCGGCGAGAGGUCCUGGGCCUGCGGCAGAAGGUGCUGAAAGGCGAGAGCAGCCUGGAGGCCUUGAAGCAGGAGCUCCAGGGUUCCCAGAGGAAGCUGCAGGAGCAAGAGGCUGAGUUCCGUGCACGCGAACGAGGCCUGUUGGGCUCCCUGGAGGAGGCGCGUGGUGCCGAGAAGAAGCUUCUGGACUCUGCUCGCAGCCUGGAGCUAAGACUGGAGGGUGAAGUGGGGACGGACUCAGCAGCCCCAGUCCUUUGGAAUAUAGCCCUCGGUCCCAGCCCCCGUCUCCAGGGCCUGUUGCCUCCCCGGCACCUCCAGACUUGGACCCAGAAGCUGUGCGUGACGCCCUCCGAGAUUUUCUGCAAGAGCUGCGGAGUGCCCAGCGGGAGCGGGAUGAACUUAGAGUCCAGACUAGCACCCUGAGUCAACAGCUGGCUGAGAUGGAGGCCGAGAGAGACCAUGCAGCCUCAAGGGCCAAGCAGCUGCAGAAGGCAGUAGCUGAGAGCGAGGAAGCCUGGCGCAGUGCAGACAGGCGGCUGAGCGGGGCCCAGGCCGAGCUGGCACUGCAGGAAGAGAGUGUGCGACGUAGCAGGCGGGAGUGCAGGGCCACGCUGGACCAGAUGGCAGUGCUGGAGAGGAGCCUGCAGGCCACCGAGAGCGAGCUCCGGGCCAGCCAGGAGAAGGUCAACAAGAUGAAGGCCACUGAGGUGAAGCUGGAGAGCGACAAGCGGCGACUGAAGGAGGUGCUGGAUGCGUCUGAGAGCCGCUCCAUCAAACUGGAGCUGCAGCGGCGCGCUCUCGAGGGCGAGCUGCAGCGCAGCCGCCUAGGCCUGGGGGACCGUGAGGCCCACGCUCAGGCCCUCCAGGAUCGGGUGGACUCCCUGCAGAGACAGGUGGCAGACAGUGAGGUGAAGGCAGGGACCUUACAGCUAACAGUGGAGCGGCUCAGUGGGGCACUGGCCAAGGUGGAGGAGAGCGAGGGGACCCUGCGGAGCAAGGUGCAGAGCCUGACAGAUGCCCUGGCCCAGAGCAGUGCCAGUCUCACCAGCAGUCAGGACAAGAAUCUGUACCUACAGAAGGCCUUGAGUACCUGCGAACAUGACCGCCAAGUGCUGCAGGAACGGCUGGACGCUGCCAGACAGGCACUGUCUGAAGCUCGAAGGCAAAGCAGCUCCCUGGGUGAGCAGGUGCAGACUCUGCGGGGUGAGCUGGCCAACCUGGAGCUGCAGCGGGGCGAUGCUGAAGGCCAGCUGCAGCAGCUGCAGCAGGUGCUGCGGCAGCGGCAGGAAGGGGAGGCCGUGGCUUUGCGCUCCGUCCAGAAGCUACAGGAGGAGCGGCGCCUGUUGCAGGAGCGCCUGGGCAGUCUGCAGCGAGCCCUGGCCCAGCUGGAAGCUGAGAAACGUGAGCUGGAGCGGUCGGCACUGCAGCUGGACAAGGACCGUGUGGCACUCAGGAAGACACUGGACAAGGUGGAGCGGGAGAAGCUUCGAAGCCACGAGGACACACUGCGCUUGAAUGCAGAGAGGGGCCGCCUGGACCGCACACUCACAGGAGCUGAGCUGGACCUGGCUGAAGCCCAACAGCAGAUCCAACAUUUAGAGGUGGUGGAAGUCCUGGAGCGGAACCACAGUCCUGUCCAGGUGGAGGCAGAUGAGCAGCACCUGGAGCUGCAACAGGAGGUUGAGCGCCUGCGCAGUGCCCAGGUACGGACAGAGCGCACACUGGAGGCACGGGAGCGGGCCCACCGCCAGCGCGUGUCGGGGCUGGAGGAGCAGGUAUCCACACUGAAGGCACAGCUGCAUCAGGAGCGUCACCGGAGCUCAGCAUCCAUGUCCCCACCCUCUGGCACCCCAGAGAAAUGAGUCCCUUCCAGCCCAUAUCCUGAGCAGUCCCUGGGCAGGAGAGAGGCCCUCUGUAGCAUAGUCUGCCCAGGGCCUGGUCAUCAGAGUGCUGGGUGAGGGAGCUGGGGUGGCAGAGAUGAUGGCUGUGGUGACACCCACAGUGGCUUCUCAGAGCGACUGCAGCACCUGUACUACCCUGGCCUCUCAAGAAGAGUCUCUUGAUGGUCCAAGGCUCUCCUGCUUGGCGGAGCCAGCCAGGCAUCAGGGAGGGAGAGCACUUGUUUCCGCCCGCCAGCAGCAGAGCAAAGGUUCCCCAGACAGGGUACCUGAGCCAGAGCACCCGGCUUCUCCUUAGCAUCCUCGUCAGAGUCGGAAGCUCCCUCGUGAGCUUAGAGCCCUUGUAUUUUUGUAUCUUUUUAUAAUGUUCACUGUGGAGAACAUGUGCUUUUUGUAACAUGACCUGUUUUCUAGAA